AUGCUCAUAGCUACAGUCAGUGACCUUUACCUGAGGUCCUUCACCCAGUGGUGCCCAAGUGCCUCACCUUGCAAGUCCUCUUCCUGUCCAAUGGCUAGAAAACUACUGGGAAUCUUAACAAGAUCCGGUGACAUCUCUAACUUCUGUGAAUUGAAAGCAUCCACACGUUUACCCUUAGAAAUAGCUCAAGACCUCAGAGGCUUCCUACACUCUGCACUACAGCCUUCUAGGUCCUGCUGUUACAGCACUGAAUAACAACAUGAUUUCCUGCCCAUGGGUUGUCCUGAUGUUUCCAUUGCAGAUCUUGUCACAACCAUUUGCAUCUUUGCUGCCUUUGAACUGAAUGGCCUGGGACUAAGUUUGAAGUUUGCUCAGAAACUACUGCUAAUGUGGAUGAGAGCUCCUAGAUGAGGCCAGCCACUGUUGGCUGCCUCUCUCCAGGGUACCUGCGGUGCUGACUUCAAAGGGAUUCCCAUUGACUAGACCUUAACUGCCAGGUUGUUGAGACUUCUUUGGCUCCAGCAAAUCACCUGGAGCAAAGUCUAUCCCAAAUGUGAAGCUGGUGUUCUUAAAACACUAAUUCUAGUCUCCUCUCAUUCCUAGUGGGUUAUAAGACACAUCCAUUCGUCUUGGCUUUUUAUGAACUCUGAUCAGGGUCAACCACUGGAUUCUGUGACAUUUAGCCCGAUGGGUGUGCUUUCUUGUCUUUUGAUCUCGAAUGAUGCUGGUGCUGCUGAGAGGACUAAAAUGGGGAUGUGGCCUUGGUAUAUCGUUCCAUCUUUCCAGUCAACAUAAACUUCUUUUAAUGUAGCCAUCAAAAGUGUGUCCAGAUAGGCCUUUAUGAGUAACAGUUGUAGCACUGUAACUAAUUUUUGCAGUUAAUGCAAAUGGCAUUUUAAAUGGAUGGUAUAAAUAUAACGGUAAGGACUUCUUUAAAGUGAAUGCUGCCCUGUCAAUAUGGUACGCAAGCCCCUUCCACUGUACCGCAUGUCUGAGGGACCUUCCCAAGAGCUAACAUCUUACACAGAUGGUUAGUCCUACUACAAUAGACGUAGCCUAGGAAAGAGGGGCUGGAACUAGUGUGUGCUGGUUGGGAACAAAAAACUUGUGAAAAGUGUUUUAAAACUAUCUUGCAUCUAGCUCAAUUAUUUACCCCCAAAGAACUGGCCUCCUCCUGUCAGCUGAUUUCCAUUCAGAUGGCAUACAUCAGCUUAGCUCUCUGAUGAGGCAUUAUCAGGGAUCCCAAGGAAAAGAC
RNAcentral lists this long non-coding RNA (1255 nucleotides) under Apteryx owenii (little spotted kiwi). RNAcentral describes it as "lncRNA (ENSAOWG00000014370.1)". The record is from RNAcentral. Lineage: Eukaryota; Metazoa; Chordata; Aves; Apterygiformes; Apterygidae.